GCCAAAAUAAAGUUUCGCGAGUGACGUGUUUACCGUGCACCCAUCGAGUGAUUGGCGCGAUAGGUCGCCAUAUUCGCCGGGUUCAGUCCUCCACUUGCCGGCGGCCGAGCCACUUCGGCGCCAUUUUGGAUUUGUUCCUCCCAGUGUGCCACCUGCGCGAGCUCCAAUUUUGGGAUUAAAUGGGAUUACAGUGCCUUUAAAAGGGAAGAAAGAGAUUUGUACGCGGUGGUCAACUCACGGCGACCCACAUCACCGGGGGGACCCGUCCAGCGGCAGAAAACCAGCCAUUAGCAAGUCAACCUUUGCGAUCGGAACGUAGGAAGCACGGAGAGCCCCCAGAGGCUUUACUCCCGACUGCAGGGGACCGGAACGGGGAACCCUGAGAAUUUCUCCUGACAUUGGAGUGCAAAUCCGUGCGAGGAAGUCUGGAGUCAUUGAACCCGCGGCAAAGUUUGUUUUGGCCGUGACUUUGCUCACGUACUCUCCACGCAAUUACAAAAUAAAUAUUAAGUAACUUGAAAAGGUC
Frankliniella occidentalis (western flower thrips) is the source of this 526-nucleotide long non-coding RNA. RefSeq lists it as uncharacterized. The record is from RefSeq and is a predicted model, not a curated record. NCBI's taxonomy places the organism in Eukaryota, Metazoa, Arthropoda, Insecta, Thysanoptera, Thripidae. The transcript is spliced from 2 exons.